UAUUAAAAAAUGGAGAAAGGAGAAACACAUAUAAAUUACAUAAACAAACGACAACUACUGUACAUCAGAUUCCUGACUUAGGAUAGGUGCAAACAUUUGCAGCGGGAUUAAACGUUUUAAUGGUACGAAACCUUUUCCUUUUUUCUGAAACAAUAGCAUUACAUCACAAAAUAGAAAAACACACGGUAAAAUAUCAAUUGACAGGCUUAACUCAAUCAAAAAACGUAAAUUAAUAAACUAUGUGCGAAUAAAUUUGAUCUGCGAUAUCUGAAUGCAAAUGCACAGUUAAUAAAAUAUUAAGGACAAACAUUCAAGGCCAAAAAGCAAACAAACUAGUCCAAACAAAGCCAUGGCAAA
Molecule: long non-coding RNA, 357 nt
Filed under: Mytilus galloprovincialis (Mediterranean mussel)
Lineage: Eukaryota; Metazoa; Mollusca; Bivalvia; Mytilida; Mytilidae
Source: RNAcentral